GACCUGGAGUGUUGAAAAAAUAUCCAGGAGAACUGGUUCCUUUUUUGCAGGGAGGCAGUUUGCAAGGACAAGGUGGUUGCUGUGCUCUCUAGCAAAAAUACUCCCCUUGGGAUGUCCAAGGUGAGGAAAUGUUGGCCACGUGUGGGCUGGAGCAAAGGAUGUCGAGUACCACCAUGUCCCUGAGGUCACCCUUUCUCCUGCUGGGAGAGCACGAGGCGGAUGGAAAGGAUCCCCAGGCAUCUGCAGGCACAAGGGACUCGUACAGCUGUGAUUUUCCUACAGCCCUCGUGAAAUGGACUUUCAGGGUACCAUGGGUAAUGUGCCAGCUCUCCUGCUGAAGCUUUUGUCUGCUACAUUUGAACACAAAGAGCAGAACUAAAGUCAGGUCUGUUCUGGAGCGUGUUA
Long non-coding RNA from Corapipo altera (White-ruffed manakin), 405 nucleotides. RefSeq lists it as uncharacterized. The transcript has 2 exons. The record is from RefSeq and is a predicted model, not a curated record. Lineage: Eukaryota; Metazoa; Chordata; Aves; Passeriformes; Pipridae.